Molecule: long non-coding RNA, 315 nt
Filed under: Ursus maritimus (polar bear)
Lineage: Eukaryota; Metazoa; Chordata; Mammalia; Carnivora; Ursidae
Description: lncRNA (ENSUMAG00000002114.1)
Source: RNAcentral
AGAGACACUGGGGUAACUACUGGUCAUCGAUACAUGGGCCUUCCUAAACUUCGGCUUCUGAAUAGGGCAGUCCUGGAACUGUGGGUCCACCUGGUGCCAGCGGCCCCCCAGGAAGUACGGGUCCCCCUGGCAUCAGAGGGCCCCCUGGGAAAGACGGGGAGCGCGGAGAGAAGGGAACGGCAGGUGAAGAAGGGAGUCCAGGACCAGCUGGUCCUAGGGGUGAUCCCGGGGCUCCCGGGCUCCCUGGAACACCUGGACAGGGAAAGGACGGAGAGCCGGGGCUUCGUGGGCCACCUGGAUUACCUGGACCUCUAG